RNAcentral lists this non-coding RNA (116 nucleotides) under Halalkalibacter krulwichiae. RNAcentral's name for it is "Bacillus krulwichiae SAM-I sequence". It matches the Rfam family "SAM riboswitch aptamer (S box leader)". From Rfam's summary of the family: The SAM riboswitch is found upstream of a number of genes which code for proteins involved in methionine or cysteine biosynthesis in Gram-positive bacteria. The SAM riboswitch acts at the level of transcription termination control. Lineage: Bacteria; Bacillati; Bacillota; Bacilli; Caryophanales; Bacillaceae. The record is from Rfam by way of RNAcentral.
AACUUAUCUAGAGAGGUGGAGGGAACUGACCCUACGAAGCCCAGCAACCGUUUUGCAAGCCAUGUAAAAAAAGGUGCUAAUUUCAGCAGAAUGAUGUCCAUUCUGAAAGAUAAGUA